AUUGAACGCUGGCGGCAUGCUUUACACAUGCAAGUCGAACGGUAACAGGGUGCUUGCACCGCUGACGAGUGGCGAACGGGUGAGUAAUACAUCGGAAUGUACCCAGUAAUGGGGGAUAACGCCUCGAAAGAGUAGCUAAUACCGCAUACGCCCUACGGGGGAAAGGGGGGGAUCGCAAGACCUCUCACUACUGGAGCGGCCGAUAACGGAUUAGCUAGUUGGUGAGGGAAAGGCUCACCAAGGCAACGAUCCGUAGCUGGUUUGGAGAGGACGACCAGCCACACUGGGACUGAGACACGGCCCAGACUCCUACGGGAGGCAGCAGUGGGGAAUUUUGGACAAUGGGGGCAACCCUGAUCCAGCCAUUCCGCGUGUGCGAUGAAGGCCUUCGGGUUGUAAAGCACUUUUGGCAGGAAAGAAAUCGUACGGAUUAAUACUCUGUGUGGAUGACGGUACCUGCAGAAUAAGCACCGGCUAACUACGUGCCAGCAGCCGCCGUAA
This 501-nucleotide ribosomal RNA is filed under the name uncultured bacterium. RNAcentral describes it as "partial 16S ribosomal RNA". It matches the Rfam family "Bacterial small subunit ribosomal RNA", at positions 30 to 523 of the family's 1533-position model. The record is from RNAcentral.